Passer montanus (Eurasian tree sparrow) is the source of this 521-nucleotide long non-coding RNA. RefSeq lists it as uncharacterized. NCBI's taxonomy places the organism in Eukaryota, Metazoa, Chordata, Aves, Passeriformes, Passeridae. The record is from RefSeq and is a predicted model, not a curated record. The transcript has 3 exons.
UGGACUGUCCUGAAAUGCCAACUGGCUGUCAAUGUCAUCCAUCAAGGGUGGAGAAAGGACUCACUGUGACAGACACCUGUGCUUUGAAGAAAGGAAAUGUCUGUGAGAUGAGAGACUGUUUGGAAAGGAAGGGAUACUUUUGUGCCCUUUGAGCUACUGAAAAUGCUGUUGGGAGAGCAGCUCCCAGAUCCAAGGGAGCCCAGCAAGGGAAGCAUCAUGGCACAGUGCAGACUGAUGGAAGAGACAGGGACAGACAACCUGACAAAAGUGCAACAUGUCAGAGACACUUCUCCUGGUGCAUAGAGGGAACUGUGGAAUCUGCUGAAACCCAGAAAAUGACUGCGUCAGAACUAAACCAAGCCUAAGAGGAUUUAUUGACCACAACCACGGCAUGUGGAGCUCUGGGGACAUCCUUAACAGUCAAAGGAAAAAUGGAAUUUCUUUGGAAUUACGCUCCUGGACUCAGCUUCACAACAGAGCCCCAGCUUUGUGCUGCGAGGACAUGUGAGAAGGAAAUGCAG